Molecule: transfer RNA, 81 nt
Filed under: Nanobdellota archaeon
Lineage: Archaea; Nanobdellati; Nanobdellota
Also listed under: 1 other name
Description: tRNA-Ser
Rfam family: tRNA
About the family: Transfer RNA (tRNA) molecules are approximately 80 nucleotides in length. Their secondary structure includes four short double-helical elements and three loops (D, anti-codon, and T loops).
Source: RNAcentral
GCCUCGGUCGCAUAAUGGUAUUGCAUCUGCCUUGAGAGCAGAGCCCGUAAGGGCCUCCAGGUUCGAUUCCUGGCCGGGGCG